GGAGGGGUGUCCGAGUGGUUUAAGGUGCGGCUCUUGAAAAGCCGUGUGGGGCAACCCACCGUGGGUUCGAAUCCCACCCCCUCCGCCA
Molecule: transfer RNA, 88 nt
Filed under: Candidatus Dormiibacterota bacterium
Lineage: Bacteria; Bacillati; Candidatus Dormiibacterota
Also listed under: 1 other name
Description: tRNA-Ser
Rfam family: tRNA
About the family: Transfer RNA (tRNA) molecules are approximately 80 nucleotides in length. Their secondary structure includes four short double-helical elements and three loops (D, anti-codon, and T loops). Further hydrogen bonds mediate the characteristic L-shaped molecular structure. tRNAs have two regions of fundamental functional importance: the anti-codon, which is responsible for specific mRNA codon recognition, and the 3' end, to which the tRNAs corresponding amino acid is attached (by aminoacyl-tRNA synthetases). tRNAs cope with the degeneracy of the genetic code in two manners: having more than one tRNA (with a specific anti-codon) for a particular amino acid; and 'wobble' base-pairing, i.e. permitting non-standard base-pairing at the 3rd anti-codon position.
Source: RNAcentral